UCCACUGUAAAGUGGAAUCUGAAGGAAGCUGGCGGCAAACAUCCGGGCCGACGAACAGAAACUGUAUACAAGGCGGGGUUACAAGGGUGAUGUUGCAUAAGAAACAAAAACCCGAUACUACACAGAUUGUAACAACGUAAAUGCAGCGGCUACAUGGAUGGAAAGCGAUAACA
RNAcentral lists this non-coding RNA (173 nucleotides) under Chitinophaga terrae (ex Kim and Jung 2007). The record is from RNAcentral. Lineage: Bacteria; Pseudomonadati; Bacteroidota; Chitinophagia; Chitinophagales; Chitinophagaceae.